Long non-coding RNA from Bufo gargarizans (Asiatic toad), 328 nucleotides. RefSeq lists it as uncharacterized. The transcript is spliced from 3 exons. NCBI's taxonomy places the organism in Eukaryota, Metazoa, Chordata, Amphibia, Anura, Bufonidae. The record is from RefSeq and is a predicted model, not a curated record.
UCAUGUGACCCUCAGGGAAAUCUGAGAAACCAGCUACUGGCGAUAAAGGUGUAUUGCCUGCAUGACGGCCUGCUCCAGAGGGAUUGAUUUCUGCAAGGAAAACCGGUACUCCGAAGACAGGGCCGGUUUUAGACAAAAUGUGGCCCUGGGCAAAAUCAAAAGUCGGGCCCCAAAUCUUAUAAUAAUGAGCUAACAACACAGUCACAUCCCGUCGAUUCCGUAAAUGAAAGCAAAUAUGUGAAUAUCUGUGUUCCCGGCCUCCACUCUCCAGAGAAAAGAAAUGGCUGAAAAAUUGUGAUCUGGUCUGAAGAAAGAGAACAUCUACAUC